Molecule: long non-coding RNA, 3897 nt
Organism: Hemicordylus capensis (graceful crag lizard)
Lineage: Eukaryota; Metazoa; Chordata; Lepidosauria; Squamata; Cordylidae
Exons: 3
Source: RefSeq, a predicted model, not a curated record
AAAAGGUAUUUACCAGUAUUAUCUAUCUAUCUAUCUAGCUAUCUAUCUCCGCUGUUUAAUCUGGAACAUGCGGCACCCAGCCUCAGAGAAGAUGGGUGGCUGCAAAACAGCAGAUCCGCUUACCGCCCACCCCCGCCUUCCCCUCAAAAGCCAUUGACAGCAGAGCCAGCUCGGAAGAUAGCCUUGGUCUACGGAGAAAGGAGGCUGCUCCGAGUUUCGAGGGCUGUGCUGCUUUCUCCAUCACAUCAGAAGGACAUCCGUGUAUCCCACAGUCGUCCACCCACACCUUAUGAGCUCAGGUUUCCACAGCAGCCACUUGAAAGGCAGAAACUGAACUCCUUUUCUGUGACUAAUGGCUGACGCUUGAAAGAAAACCUCUCCUAUUCCCCGGGGCAACAUAGCUGUUGGAGCAAUACUGUGCAUACAGGUGGGAUGCCUACCAGCAUGCACCACGGAAGCAGGCAACUCAGCUGCCUUUGCAAUUGCUGUUUUGGCCAAUCUCAUGGUUGAUGAUGCCAGAAUUCGUCACAGCGCCAGCUAACUCUUGCUGGAAUGUGCAGCCACAUCAGUUCCAGCAGCAUCUUGUGACAGAGAACUCUGCAGUACAGGUUUGAUAGGAAGCAUAUAGAGGGAUGGUGUUUGUGACUAUCAGCUCCCCCUCACUCUCUCACUCACACACCCAAGUCGACCUCAGGAUCAUGAGAGUUGGAAGGGACCCAACUGAGGAUGUGAGCCAACACUCUUGCUAGUACAAGACACUCCCCAAGAGUUUGCGGUCUACGGAAAUAUUCCGUAGGCUUCCGAGGCAGCCAGUUUCAUUGCUGAGCUGCAAUCAUAGGCAGUCCUUGCCUGAUGUUUACCCAAGUCCACUUCCCUGUCAUUUUAGCAUACUGAAAGUGUGAGCCGGCAAGUCCCCAAUUCAAAUCUCACCUCAAGCAUUUUUGUUUAUACAUUGCAACCUCAGCCCUCUGUUUGCAUAAUGGGGUUAAUUACACUGGCCUACCGACAGGGCUGCUGUGACACACACAUUUGGAAGUUUUCCACUUGCUCCUGGUCCUCCCCUCCAUCAUCUUUUCUCUAAACUAGGCAUACCGAGCUGGGAAUACACACAGCGUCCUUAUACCGAGUCAAAUCACUGGUCUGCACAGCCCAGUACUCUCUAUUCCGAUUAAUACUAGCUUUCCAGGGUCUCACACAGAUGACCUUCCCUGCCCUGCACCUGAAAAUAUCUUUCUCACGGAAGGUGCUAGGGGUUGAACCUGGUGUCCGAUGCAUGCUAAGUACAAGCUCUGUUGUAAUAGGAUUUGUUUUGUGGGGCCAAGUACUACUUGGCCCCACUAACUGGGCAAACCCCUGCUAAUUGGGCAAAGAGGCACCUUUUACCGUGGUGAUUCUCUUUAUUUAGCAGGGGGAGAGUAACUGGCCCUAUCCCCCCCUAGCACAGUACUGCAGUGACUGUUGCUGGUGUGUGUGUUAUGUUUCUUUUUAGAAUGUGAGCCCUUUGGGGACAGGGAGCCAUCUUAUUUGUUUGUUAUUUCUCUUUGUAAACCGCCCUGGGCCAUUUUUGGAAGGGCGGUAUAGAAAUCAAGUUAUUAAUUAUUAUUAUUAUUAUUAUUAUUAUUAUUACUACUACUACUACUACUACUACUACUACAUCACACACCUCUUGCUUAGAGUGAAAGGACUGCACCCCUUCAAAGCAGAGCAUCAGCCCAAUUCCUUUCCUAAUGUUCAUUGAGGGUGCAAUACACCUGCCACCCUGGACAAAGAGGCCUAUGUAUUUGGCACUUGGGUAUCUCUUCCCAAGUACAAAAUGCAGGUGAGACCCAAUGCUGCAACCAAGUUGAAGACAGACAUGUCUCGCCAGAGGUUUACAGCUUAGUAAUACAAGGAAAACAGGGAAAGGGAGGGGAAAGGACAUUGGUUAGUACUGGUCAUGGGUAGCGUACUGCUAGCAAAGCAGAACAGAUUUCAAUCCUUUCCUAUGGCUCCUUUGGACCAGGCCCACUGGAUUCAGGAUAGGAAGAGGCUCCUGCAUUUGAAAGCGGCUGUAAAGAGAGAACUUUGGGCUGGUAUUGCCUCUGUCAGCACAGUACUGUAGUGAUGGAUGCUGUACCUACCAUUCUUUCUCGGAUAAGUACAGUACUAAGAGCAGCUGCCUCCCAUAUGGUACAUGAAGCAGCUGGAGUGGUCAGUACCCUCUUGGGGAACAAAUGCCCACUGAGAUCCUUGACAAGGUUUACACCCCUAGAGAUGGAAAACGGGUGGCAGCAUUGCAAUUCUGUCAUUGCGUUAUCAUGCCUUUAUUGUCCUGACCAGUGUUCUAAUUUUCUUCAUCUGUGUGAAGAAUGAGUUUUGUUCUGGGUAGCAGUAUCAAGGCUGUGUGUGUGCAUGCACAUAUAUUCAGAGUAGGACUUUCCAGAUUCAAUUUGAGCGGGAUCUAAAAUUAACUGAGUGGACAUUAAGAAAAACAUGUGUGUGUAUGCCUUAGAGGGAACACUGGUCCUGACCAUUGAGCCUGCCGUGAUGGUCCAAAUUUUCAGUGGUGUUUUAAAAGCUUUUCACACAUAAAAACUACUAUACAAUUUGAUCAGUGUUAUCAGAGGAAUGGAAAUGGAAAUGUCCCCCCCAAAGAUUAUUUCAUGGAGUACAAUUUGUUCAUUAUUACCCUAACCCAGGGCUGCUCAACUCUGGCCCUCCUACAGAUGUUGGCCUACAACUUACAGAAUACCUGGCUAUUGGCCAUUGCGGCUGGGGAUUAUGGGAGUUGUAGUCUCAAAACAGCUGAGAGGGCCUAAGUUGAGCAGGCAUACACUAACCCUACCCCAACUCCUACCCUUUCAUCUGUGCAAAAAAGACUCAUUUUGCCCUAAUCAUUUGGGGGAUAGGGAUAAAGAAGGGGCAAUAAUACAGAGAAAGCUGUAAGUGCAACAGUUUUAUCACCUAUUUUCCAUUUCUGGGGAGGGGUUGCCAAAAAUCACUGAGUAUUUGCCUCCUGCUGAGAUGGUACCAUUGGCCAAAAUCUGUGGGCUUGGCUCAUGGAUUAAUACUAAACCUAACAAACUUCAACACAACUUGGAAAGUAGAUUAACAACCCAACUGCAAGCCAACAAAAGAGCAUGACAGCCUUUUCACCAAUACUCUUUUGUGGUUCCGAUUCUCUCUUGUAUAAACAUUAGACACUUAACAUUCAGAGGCACAGUCUGAAUUCAGAGAAUGUCCUACCUAAAUAACUACAUCCAGCCACCACUUCACACGAGAUGUGUUUCAAUUCAACCACAUUUCCCCCUUCCACCCCAAUGAGUAGUAUUCAUAAAAUGUUGGCCAUCAGUACUGAACAAGAAAGAGAUGCUCACGCUAGUCUUAUUUCUAUAGUACUUUUCAACUAACAAGGUACUUAAGGAUUCUUACUAUGCUAUAAUCUUCUCUCUCUCUGGCAUAUUCUACCCUACUUAGGGUCCAGAACUAAUAUCUGAAAUGGAUAGGUGUCUGAUUUGGAACUGCAAGUUGGGCAGAAUGUGUCAAAAUUGGCAGGUUUGGACAUCAUGCCCAGCGUCAGCAUAUCCUUCCCAACACUAGAAGUCAGGCUCACACAUGUUCCCAGGGCUCUGGCAAUUCCAAACUUCAUAGAAUUCUUUUUAAUGCCUAUGUUGCUUUUAAUGUAGAUGGAUUUAUAUUAAGUUGCCCAGGAUUGAACACAUAGUAGGGUUGGAAAAGCAUCAGAGGAUUGUAGAUGGUUUACUUUAGGGAUCUGAACAGAACCAGCAAGCCCAGAUCAGCUCAAAUCCAGACUAGAUUUGAGCCUUCCCUGGGUGGUUCACCUUGAAUGAGCCUGGGCCGGCUGUUGAGCUGGCUUGAGGGUACAACGGCCAUACUUGUAAAGGGGAAUCUGGCAAG